GGGGCCGUAGCUCAGUUGGGAGAGCGCUUGAAUGGCAUUCAAGAGGUCAGGGGUUCGAUUCCCCUCGGCUCCA
Rhodospirillales bacterium is the source of this 73-nucleotide non-coding RNA. Lineage: Bacteria; Pseudomonadati; Pseudomonadota; Alphaproteobacteria; Rhodospirillales. The record is from Rfam.